GUCUGGGAAACUGCCUGAUGGAGGGGGAUAACUACUGGAAACGGUAGCUAAUACCGCAUAACGUCGCAAGACCAAAGAGGGGGACCUUCGGGCCUCUUGCCAUCGGAUGUGCCCAGAUGGGAUUAGCUAGUAGGUGGGGUAACGGCUCACCUAGGCGACGAUCCCUAGCUGGUCUGAGAGGAUGACCAGCCACACUGGAACUGANACACGGUCCAGACUCCUACGGGAGGCAGCAGUGGGGAAUAUUGCACAAUGGGCGCAAGCCUGAUGCAGCCAUGCCGCGUGUAUGAAGAAGGCCUUCGGGUUGUAAAGUACUUUCAGCGGGGAGGAAGGCGAUAAGGUUAAUAACCUUGUCGAUUGACGUUACCCGCAGAAGAAGCACCGGCUAACUCCGUGCCAGCAGCCGCGGUAAUACGGAGGGUGCAAGCGUUAAUCGGAAUUACUGGGCGUAAAGCGCACGCAGGCGGUCUGUCAAGUCGGAUGUGAGAUCCCCGGGGCUCAACCUGGGGAACUGCAUUCNAAACUGGGCAGGCUAGAGUCUUGUUAUAGGGGGGUUAGAAUUCCAGGUGUACGGUGAAAUGCGUAGAAAUCUGGANGAAUACCGGUGGCGAAGGCGGCCCCCUGGACAAA
RNAcentral lists this ribosomal RNA (630 nucleotides) under uncultured bacterium. Its description in RNAcentral is "bacterial SSU rRNA". It matches the Rfam family "Bacterial small subunit ribosomal RNA", at positions 115 to 737 of the family's 1533-position model. The record is from RNAcentral.